Molecule: ribosomal RNA, 1199 nt
Filed under: Salmonella enterica subsp. enterica serovar Montevideo
Lineage: Bacteria; Pseudomonadati; Pseudomonadota; Gammaproteobacteria; Enterobacterales; Enterobacteriaceae
Description: partial 23S ribosomal RNA
Rfam family: Bacterial large subunit ribosomal RNA
Source: RNAcentral
AAGCGUCUGGAAAGGCGCGCGAUACAGGGUGACAGCCCCGUACACAAAAGCGCAUGUGCUGUGAGCUCGAUGAGUAGGGCGGGACACGUGGUAUCCUGUCUGAAUAUGGGGGGACCAUCCUCCAAGGCUAAAUACUCCUGACUGACCGAUAGUGAACCAGUACCGUGAGGGAAAGGCGAAAAGAACCCCGGCGAGGGGAGUGAAAAAGAACCUGAAACCGUGUACGUACAAGCAGUGGGAGCACCCUUUGGGGUGUGACUGCGUACCUUUUGUAUAAUGGGUCAGCGACUUAUAUUCUGUAGCAAGGUUAACCGUAUAGGGGAGCCGGAGGGAAACCGAGUCUUAACCGGGCGUUAAGUUGCAGGGUAUAGACCCGAAACCCGGUGAUCUAGCCAUGGGCAGGUUGAAGGUUGGGUAACACUAACUGGAGGACCGAACCGACUAAUGUUGAAAAAUUAGCGGAUGACCUGUGGCUGGGGGUGAAAGGCCAAUCAAACCGGGAGAUAGCUGGUUCUCCCCGAAAGCUAUUUAGGUAGCGCCUCGUGAAUUCAUCUCCGGGGGUAGAGCACUGUUUCGGCUAGGGGGCCAUCCCGGCUUACCAACCCGAUGCAAACUGCGAAUACCGGAGAAUGUUAUCACGGGAGACACACGGCGGGUGCUAACGUCCGUCGUGAAGAGGGAAACAACCCAGACCGCCAGCUAAGGUCCCAAAGUCAUGGUUAAGUGGGAAACGAUGUGGGAAGGCCCAGACAGCCAGGAUGUUGGCUUAGAAGCAGCCAUCAUUUAAAGAAAGCGUAAUAGCUCACUGGUCGAGUCGGCCUGCGCGGAAGAUGUAACGGGGCUAAACCAUGCACCGAAGCUGCGGCAGCGACGCUGAUGCGUUGUUGGGUAGGGGAGCGUUCUGUAAGCCUGCGAAGGUGGCCUGUGAGGGUUGCUGGAGGUAUCAGAAGUGCGAAUGCUGACAUAAGUAACGAUAAAGCGGGUGAAAAGCCCGCUCGCCGGAAGACCAAGGGUUCCUGUCCAACGUUAAUCGGGGCAGGGUGAGUCGACCCCUAAGGCGAGGCCGAAAGGCGUAGUCGAUGGGAAACGGGUUAAUAUUCCCGUACUUGGUGUUACUGCGAAGGGGGGACGGAGAAGGCUAUGUUGGCCGGGCGACGGUUGUCCCGGUUUAAGCGUGUAGGUGUGUGUUCCAGGUAAAU